Molecule: ribosomal RNA, 232 nt
Filed under: uncultured bacterium
Lineage: Bacteria
Description: partial 16S ribosomal RNA
Rfam family: Bacterial small subunit ribosomal RNA
Source: RNAcentral
CGGGUGAGUAACGCGUGAGGAACCUGCCUCAAAGAGGGGACAACAGUUGGAAACGGCUGCUAAUACCGCAUAAGCCCACGGCUCGGCAUCGAGCAGAGGGAAAAGGAGCAAUCCGCUUUGAGAUGGCCUCGCGUCCGAUUAGCUAGUUGGUGAGGUAAUGGCCCACCAAGGCAACGAUCGGUAGCCGGACUGAGAGGUUGAACGGCCACAUUGGGACUGAGACACGGCCCAG